CCUACGGGAGGCAGCAGUGAGGAAUAUUGGUCAAUGGGCGCGAGCCUGAACCAGCCAAGUAGCGUGAAGGAUGACUGCCCUACGGGUUGUAAACUUCUUUUAUAAAGGAAUAAAGUGAGGCACGUGUGCCUUUUUGUAUGUACUUUAUGAAUAAGGAUCGGCUAACUCCGUGCCAGCAGCCGCGGUAAUACGGAGGAUCCGAGCGUUAUCCGGAUUUAUUGGGUUUAAAGGGAGCGUAGGGGGGUUGUUAAGUCAGUUGUUAAAGUUUGCGGCUCAAACGUAAAAUUGCAAUUGAUACUGGCGGUAUUGAGUGCAGUGGAGGUAGGGGGAAUUGGGGGGGGAGCGGUGAAAGGCAUAGAUAUCACGAAGAACUCCGAUUGCGAAGGCAGCAUACUA
Molecule: ribosomal RNA, 396 nt
Filed under: uncultured bacterium
Lineage: Bacteria
Description: partial 16S ribosomal RNA
Rfam family: Bacterial small subunit ribosomal RNA
Source: RNAcentral